UCGCGCCAGCGGUAGGGGCGGAAACCCGGCACUGUCCCUCCCGUCGAGGCCCUCGGUUCGCAAGAACCGGGGGCCUCACUUUUU
RNAcentral lists this small RNA (84 nucleotides) under Pseudolabrys sp. Root1462. RNAcentral describes it as "Bradyrhizobiaceae sRNA BjrC68". It matches the Rfam family "Bradyrhizobiaceae sRNA BjrC68". Lineage: Bacteria; Pseudomonadati; Pseudomonadota; Alphaproteobacteria; Hyphomicrobiales; Xanthobacteraceae. The record is from Rfam by way of RNAcentral.